UACCUCUGGUGUACCAGUUGUCGUGCCAACGGCAUAGCUGGGUAGCUAUGUGUGGACGGGAUAAGUGCUGAAAGCAUCUAAGCAUGAAGCCCCCCUCAAGAUGAGAUUUCCCAACUUCGGUUAUAAGAUCCCUCAAAGAUGAUGAGGUUAAUAGGUUCGAUGUGGAAGCAUGGUGACAUGUGGAGCUGACGAAUACUAAUCGAUCGAAGACUUAAUCAAAA
Molecule: ribosomal RNA, 221 nt
Filed under: Staphylococcus aureus
Lineage: Bacteria; Bacillati; Bacillota; Bacilli; Caryophanales; Staphylococcaceae
Description: partial 23S ribosomal RNA
Rfam family: Bacterial large subunit ribosomal RNA
Source: RNAcentral